GACGAACGCUGGCGGCGUGCCUAAUACAUGCAAGUAGAACGCUGAAGGAGGAGCUUGCUCUUCUGGAUGAGUUGCGAACGGGUGAGUAACGCGUAGGUAACCUGCCUGGUAGCGGGGGAUAACUAUUGGAAACGAUAGCUAAUACCGCAUAAGAGUAGAUGUUGCAUGACAUUUGCUUAAAAGGUGCAAUUGCAUCACUACCAGAUGGACCUGCGUUGUAUUAGCUAGUUGGUGAGGUAACGGCUCACCAAGGCGACGAUACAUAGCCGACCUGAGAGGGUGAUCGGCCACACUGGGACUGAGACACGGCCCAGACUCCUACGGGAGGCAGCAGUAGGGAAUCUUCGGCAAUGGACGGAAGUCUGACCGAGCAACGCCGCGUGAGUGAAGAAGGUUUUCGGA
Molecule: ribosomal RNA, 402 nt
Filed under: uncultured bacterium
Lineage: Bacteria
Description: bacterial SSU rRNA
Rfam family: Bacterial small subunit ribosomal RNA
Source: RNAcentral